This 1148-nucleotide small RNA is filed under the name Human betaherpesvirus 5. RNAcentral's name for it is "RNA5.0". Lineage: Duplodnaviria; Heunggongvirae; Peploviricota; Herviviricetes; Herpesvirales; Orthoherpesviridae. The record is from RNAcentral.
AACACCCACAAACAACGUCACGACGCAACGUGGUUAAACAGUACGUUUAUUAAAGUAACUGGGUGAACGACAUCGGAGCGGACUGCAAAUCGCAACGCUACUUUCUCGAGUGCAGAUACUCUUCGAGACGGCUAAACAACGUGUCCAACUCGCUGAGACCUUUCCGCGUGCCGUUAUCCGAUUUCCUUUCCGCCUCCUGAGACAGCCGACUAAUCACGGACUUAUCUCCGCAACCUAACAGAGGCUGGGAGCCCGACAAAAGUAAAACAGCGUGCUAUGAACACGUUGUUACCUCUGCGCGGACAGCGCCGCCACAGAGACACUUACGCAUUGCCGCAUGUCUUUGUAGAUGGAUUCUAGCGUCGAGCGCAUACUAUGCAAUUCCGUCUUAAGUCCAGGAUAGACGUGGUCGCCUGCGGGGAACACGAUCUCCAGAUACCGCCUCAACAACCAGUCCAUGACGCUGCAUCCCCAACAGCCUUUGACCACCGUACCGUCGAGCCACACGGAGUAAUCGUCCUCACGUUGCUACAAGAGGAAAACUACGUCACCCGACACGCGGAAAAGAAAGACCGUCGCAAUAAACCGUACCUACGUGACCUACCAACGUAGGUUUUACUCGAUGAAAGGUGACGCGGAGAUCUUGCAAUCUGGUCGCGUAAUCCUCCGGACGACACUGCGGCUUUGUAUUCUUUAUCGUCGUCGUCGUCGCCGCCGGCUUCGCCUCCUCGGAAGCGCCUAGAAAAAAGACGAUCAGGACCAGAGAGGAAGAGACUAUCACCGACAGCAUCGCCGCAGCAUGCCGCCCCAAUCCGCCGCCCAACUGCGCGUCCCAGAUACCACUCGUAGACUGUCAGCCUCGCGAGGAGACACCGCGGACCGGGGAAACGGAUAAGUUUACGAACAGAAAUCUCAAGAGAAAGACGCUGACCCGGCAAGUACCGUCACGGAGACACGGUGGUUUUUAUUGAAUUUCCAGUGUAUCGAGCCACCGUGAUGCAGGUACGGUGGUUUUAUGUGAAGUGCCGCUAUCUAUAGGCGAUGUGUUCCCUGACGGUGUGUGUUUUUUGGGGAUAGACAACGUGGUUCUUGUACGUGGUUUUUACCCUGCUCAAUAAAGUCACGUUUUCCUUACACGGUGUUGUGUC